RNAcentral lists this ribosomal RNA (484 nucleotides) under uncultured bacterium. Its description in RNAcentral is "partial 16S ribosomal RNA". It matches the Rfam family "Bacterial small subunit ribosomal RNA", at positions 30 to 507 of the family's 1533-position model. The record is from RNAcentral.
AUUGAACGCUGGCGGCAGGCCUAACACAUGCAAGUCGAGCGGAUGAAGGGAGCUUGCUCCUGGAUUCAGCGGCGGACGGGUGAGUAAUGCCUAGGAAUCUGCCUGGUAGUGGGGGAUAACGUCCGGAAACGGGCGCUAAUACCGCAUACGUCCUGAGGGAGAAAGUGGGGGAUCUUCGGACCUCACGCUAUCAGAUGAGCCUAGGUCGGAUUAGCUAGUUGGUGGGGUAAAGGCCUACCAAGGCGACGAUCCGUAACUGGUCUGAGAGGAUGAUCAGUCACAGUGAAAGAGAGCAAGGGACAAGACCCCGAGGGGAGGAACCGGGGGGAAUUUUUGGAAAAGGGGCAAAAGUUUGAACCAGCCAGGCGGGGUGGGGGAAGAAGGUCUUGGAAUUUAAAACCUUUUUAAGUUGGGAGGAAGGAAAGUAAGUUAAUACUUUCUUUUUUUGACGUUACCAAAAAAAAAAACCCGGGCUAACUUGGUC